This 423-nucleotide ribosomal RNA is filed under the name uncultured bacterium. Its description in RNAcentral is "bacterial SSU rRNA". It matches the Rfam family "Bacterial small subunit ribosomal RNA", at positions 202 to 622 of the family's 1533-position model. The record is from RNAcentral.
AAGGCCUUGCGCUUUUGGAGUGGCCGAUGCCUGAUUAGCUAGUUGGUGGGGUAAGGGCCUACCAAGGCGACGAUCAGUAGUUGGUCUGAGAGGACGACCAGCCACACUGGGACUGAGACACGGCCCAGACUCCUACGGGAGGCAGCAGUGGGGAAUUUUGGACAAUGGGCGCAAGCCUGAUCCAGCAAUGCCGCGUGUGUGAAGAAGGCCUUCGGGUUGUAAAGCCCUUUCAGUUGAGAAGAAAAGGUUGUGGUAAAUAAUCACAAUUGAUGACGGUAUCGACAGAAGAAGCACCGGCUAACUACGUGCCAGCAGCCGCGGUAAUACGUAGGGUGCAAGCGUUAAUCGGAAUUACUGGGCGUAAAGGGUGCGCAGGCGGCUUUGUAAGUCAGAUGUGAAAUCCCCGGGCUUAACCUGGGAAUU